Long non-coding RNA from Mangifera indica (mango), 1089 nucleotides. RefSeq lists it as uncharacterized. Lineage: Eukaryota; Viridiplantae; Streptophyta; Magnoliopsida; Sapindales; Anacardiaceae. The record is from RefSeq and is a predicted model, not a curated record. The transcript is spliced from 2 exons.
UUGAGGAAGCCUACUUGAGCCAAGUUUUAAAUUAUACUGAGCUUUAAAUUAAAAGCUCCAUCAACACAUACAAAAGGUCCAUUUGAGAUGAGAAACAUUCAACACAGAUGCUGGCUGCAAAUGGAAGCGUCAUAAUCUCCCUGUAAACACCUUUCUUGUGAUCCUAUGCUUUAUGCUUCAAAUGAAGAUCACAGUGUCGAAGAGCCUUUAGUACCUCCAGAAGGGCCAAAACCGGGGAGCAUGUUUCAUUUUCUGGUUAAGCAUACCAAGUUGAAUAGAAAUUAAAAAACAUGAUUAUACCCCCUGAAUUUCCUGGUUCAGACUAGGAUUACAUAAAAUGAGCGCUGAAGGUGGCUAAAGUUUCUGAUUAAAUGAGCUGCACAUUCAACUGUCAGCUUAAUAGUAAUACUGUACACCUUCAUUCGUUCAACCAAUACAUAAAUUAUAUUGUGAUCUCUUCCAUUUAUUCUCUUGUAACUUGGAAUUAAGUUUUCAUUGUUGCAAAUACAGUUUUCUUCCUGGUGUCACCUGUAUUUAGAAAUGAUUGUUAAUAUUUUCAUCCUGGGUUGAUGGAAAACCAGAGGAUGUACUAAACCCAAAAAAGAAGCAGCUGUAGAAGAUUACACUAGUAUGUGCUUUCCUUUUUCUAGGCAUGUGACUGUAUGCAUAUAAACUCUAAGUGGAUACUCGGUGUAUAUUAUUAUUGGGUGACUGGACAGUCUUGAUAUGGUGAAGUGGGUUGUCAUUUAUACUUGCAUAAAAUCUGAUGACAGCUCUCUCAUGGUUGCUGCAUCUGUUGACUAAUGAGAAAGGUGUGGCCACAUUUAAGGGCAUACCAUUUAUGACAUCUGCCAGGCCAUGAACAUCAUCCAUUCCAAAGGCAAGCAUCAAACGAGGAUGAUUACAUGUUGAGCAUCAACCAAAAGCUAUGGCUCACUGAAAAAAAAAUUUUGUUUUAGUUUCAAACUUUACCUGUCACUUUUUGAAAGAUAAUGUUAUAAACAUGUAAUCAACUAAAUCAGCUACCUGUGAAUAUGAUGAAAGAAAAGUUUCUCUAAGUCAGCUACCUGCGAAUGGUUUAGACCUGGA